AAUGUAAUCUACUGUUUUAGAUCUAGAACUUUCUUUCUUCCCCAAUUCAUCAACGGGACACACCUCUAUUUAAACUUGAGGCCUCUCAUGUGCCCGUGGUGGUUUUUCAACGCGAGAGGAUGUGCCUGUGACAAACCCGCCUGCCUACGAUAUAACGGCUUCAACGACUUUCCCAAAGGAGAAAGCAGCAAAUCCAACUAUCUCAAAGCUCCCCUUUCCCUUUCCAUCUAAUCACUGAUUCUCAUCACUCGGAUACUCCUGAAAUUGUCACCCAAAUUGAAAAAAAAAAAAGAGAAUUAGUGGGUUCAGUCAGUUGUUCCUGUUCUAAACAAUCCCACCAAAAUCGACUUUGAAUCUUACAGAACACCUAACUGGGUGGGCAGAAUCAGAACAAUUUGGCAAUAUACAUCAACAUCGAUCCUCUAGCUUGUUGUAAUAUUGUAGGCAUGAAUUACUUGUACCCAGUGAAGGAAGAGUACCCGGGCGGGUCGGGUUCGUCGCAGUGGAGCGGGGAUCCUCCGAUGAUGGUGGCUCCACCGCAGCCGAUGGAGGGGCUGAAUGACACCGGGCCUCCUCCUUUUCUGAACAAGACUUAUGACAUGGUGGAUGACCCGAGUACUAAUCGGAUAGUCUCGUGGAGCAGAGGAGGGAGCAGCUUUGUGGUUUGGGACCCUCAUUCGUUUGUGAUGAACCUCCUGCCUAGAUACUUCAAGCACAAUAAUUUCUCCAGCUUUGUCAGGCAGCUUAACACUUACGGCUUUAGAAAGGUUGAUCCGGAUAGGUGGGAGUUUGCCAAUGAAGGAUUUUUACGGGGUCAGAAGCAUCUCCUAAAGAACAUUAGGAGAAGGAAGACACCUUCUCAGCCUAUUCCAGCACACCAAGCCCUAGGCCCUUGUGUGGAAGUAGGCCGGUUUGGGCUAGAUGGAGAAAUUGAUCGUUUGCGACGUGACAAGCAGGUUCUCAUGAUGGAGUUGGUGAAGCUUAGACAGCAGCAGCAGAGUACUAGAGCUUGCCUUCAAGCCAUGGAACAAAGGCUAAAAGGGACAGAAAUGAAGCAGCAACAAAUGAUGGCUUUCUUGGCCAGGGCACUGCAGAACCCGGCUUUCCUGCAGCAGCUAGUCCAACAUAAGGAGAAACGGAAGGAGCUUGAAGAAGCCGUGACUAAGAAAAGGAGAAGGCCGAUUGAUCAAGGCCCUAGUGGCUUUGGUGGUGGUGAAACUAACCAAAGGGGCAAAGGAAUUAACCCUGUUAAAGCUGAGCCUCUUGAAUUUGGAGAUGGCGAGUACGAAAUGUCGGAGCUAGAAGCGCUUGCAAUGGAAAUGCAAGGAUUUCAUAAGGCAAGAAAGGAACCAGAGGAAGAGUCAGAGCCCCUGGAAAUUGGGGAUAAAGAGCUUGAUGAAGGAUUUUGGGAUGAACUAUUUAGCGAGAGGUUUGAGGGGGACUUAAGCAUACCAUGUGCUGAAAUAGGUGAUGACGAAGAUGUCAUUAUCUUGGCUGAUCGCUUAGGUUACUUAGGUUCAAGCCCAAAUUAGAACAGCUAAACUUCUUCUGCAUUGCUAUCUCUCCUCUUCAGUACACUGCCCCAGUGACCAUUUCUUUCGGGUAGGAGGCUAUGGCCUUCAGUAGUUGUUUCAUCGUUUUUCAUUCCCUCUCUCCCUCUCGUCCUCUCUCUUUCUCUUUCUCUUUCUCCUUCUCUUUCUCUUUCUCUCUCUCUCUCUCUCUCUCUCUCUCUCUCUCUCUCUCUUUCACUUUGCAUCGCUAGAGUCUCUUCAAGUCUGUGCCAUUUGGCCAUAACUGUCAUCUGGAAUUGUUUCUUGGUAAUAUUGACAGGAUAGGGGGAUUAGCACAAGCUGUUUAUCUGGGGAAACCAACUUUGUUUCUGGUGUUUCUAACCCUGCAUUUAAUUGCUUAUUGUCUCCUUUUCGCAUCUAAUAAUGCCCUUUUCUUCUCUCUUUAUCUUGGUUAGGUUGCAGGCAUUGCUUGGACAGAAUCUGUGCUAGUUUUUAUCAUGAUUUAUCUCCUCAAGAUUGUUGAUUAUUCAGAAGCUGUUGAACUUGAAAAGGAGUAGCUGCAAGCUCCAAGGACCAUAAACAUAAUAUUGUUUAUGGAUGGAUCCAAGUGAUCAUUGGUAGCUAAUUUUAUUUUUCUGUUACUGCAUUGCCUACUAUCUUUAGUAAGAUAUAAAGAGGUGUUACAUUUGUACCAUGUAGAUCUUUUCGUGCGAAACUUGGUUCUCUCUGUCACUACAUCA
RNA transcript from Rosa rugosa (rugosa rose), 2251 nucleotides. It is a transcript of the gene named heat stress transcription factor A-7a-like, with no coding region annotated. The record is from RefSeq and is a predicted model, not a curated record. NCBI's taxonomy places the organism in Eukaryota, Viridiplantae, Streptophyta, Magnoliopsida, Rosales, Rosaceae. The transcript is spliced from 3 exons.